Molecule: transfer RNA, 92 nt
Filed under: Pallidibacillus pasinlerensis
Lineage: Bacteria; Bacillati; Bacillota; Bacilli; Caryophanales; Bacillaceae
Description: tRNA-Ser
Rfam family: tRNA
About the family: Transfer RNA (tRNA) molecules are approximately 80 nucleotides in length.
Source: RNAcentral
GGAGAGUUGUCCGAGUUGGUCGAAGGAGCACGAUUGGAAAUCGUGUAUACGCUAACCGCGUAUCAAGGGUUCGAAUCCCUUACUCUCCGCCA